RNAcentral lists this ribosomal RNA (492 nucleotides) under uncultured bacterium. RNAcentral's name for it is "partial 16S ribosomal RNA". It matches the Rfam family "Bacterial small subunit ribosomal RNA", at positions 29 to 507 of the family's 1533-position model. The record is from RNAcentral.
AGUGAACGCUGGCGGUAGGCCUAACACAUGCAAGUCGAACGGCAGCACAGUAAGAGCUUGCUCUUACGGGUGGCGAGUGGCGGACGGGUGAGGAAUACAUCGGAAUCUACUUUUUCGUGGGGGCUAACGUAGGGAAACUUACGCUAAUACCGCAUACGACCUACGGGUGAAAGCAGGGGAUCUUCGGACCUUGCGCGAUUGAAUGAGCCGAUGUCGGAUUAGCUAGUUGGCGGGGUAAAGGCCCACCAAGGCGACGAUCCGUAGCUGGUCUGAGAGGAUGAUCAGCCACACUGGAACUGAGACACGGUCCAGACUCCUACGGGAGGCAGCAGUGGGGAAUAUUGGACAAUGGGCGCAAGCCUGAUCCAGCCAUGCCGCGUGGGUGAAGAAGGCCUUCGGGUUGUAAGGCCCUUUUGUUGGGAAAGAAAAGCAGCAGGUUAAUACCCCGCUGUUCUGACGGUACCCAAAGAAUAAGCACCGGCUAACUUCGUG